This 258-nucleotide ribosomal RNA is filed under the name uncultured bacterium. RNAcentral's name for it is "partial 16S ribosomal RNA". It matches the Rfam family "Bacterial small subunit ribosomal RNA", at positions 95 to 354 of the family's 1533-position model. The record is from RNAcentral.
CCGGCGGACGGGUGCGUAACGCGUAUGCAACCUACCAUCAACAGGGGGAUAACACUGAGAAAUUGGUACUAAUACCCCAUAAUAUCUCAUGCGGCAUCGCAUGGGGUUGAAAACUCCGGUGGUUGAUGAUGGGCAUGCGUUGUAUUAGCUGGUUGGUGAGGUAACGGCUCACCAAGGCGACGAUACAUAGGGGGACUGAGAGGUUAACCCCCCACAUUGGUACUGAGACACGGACCAAACUCCUACGGAAGGCAGCAG